UGACCUAUUAACAUGAAUUUCACCAUCAUAGUUGCUGCUCAUGCAUGUAAUAACCACAAGAAAAUUGCACGCAGAUAGAUAAUUUAGUUCUCUGUAAAUUGCAAAAGUGUGGUCUGAAGCCAAGAUUGACUUGGUGUCAUUUCAAUUGGGGCCAUUUCCAGCUUCCUCAAGUAUACAGAAUCAUCAGCAGUGUAUAUGGCCAGACUCAAUGCGUUCCACGAAGGUUCUUGUGGACCCUGUCGUCUCUGUAUGGAAACAGUAAAGAAAUAUACACACGUCCAAAAGUUGAGUGAGAAUGAAUAUUCAUUACUGUUAAAAGUGGAAAGUGUGUCUAUAGACAAAAGUGCUUGUAUUUGUUACAGUUGCUCAAAGCAAAUAAAACGUAGCAUAACAAGUAAUAAUCCCAACUUUCAACCGAGAUGGAAACCAAAAAUUGUCAAGGAGACGUUGAAAUGUAGUAUACAUAUUUGCAACGAAAAACUUUGUAAAACCACAAAACUAAUCCCAACUAACCACAUAAUUGUACAGCUCAGUAAAAGUUACAAAAAAGGUGGAAAAUUUAUUGAUCUUAAGGCAUUCGCUGAGGCCCUUUCGAAAGACCCUGACCUAAGUGGCAUUACUGAUUACACAGACCUCAAGUUAUCCAAUCUAUUUAUGUUAGUACUGGCUGUGACUACAUCUCAUUUUUUUCUGGCGUAGGAAAAAUUACUUUUCUGACAACUUUUUUCCAGUAUGCAUCAUUUAUAACAGGCGGACAACCCAUUGGAAGCAUGGGAAUUCUUGAGACCUCCUCAGCACUAUUGUCGUUCUUACGUCUAGUGGGUUGUGCAUAUUUUAAGAAACACACAUCGGCAUUCGAACACCCUACACCAAUUGCUCUGUACCAAUCAAUUGGUAUUGUUAACCCACUUACACACCAUGAAGAAUGGUUACAAAUAAUCAGAAAGACUAUCUGGCUAAGGGCAGAUACAGAAAGCCAUAAUUUACCAUCUACCGAAGCUCUGGCGCUACACUGGAAGAGAUGCUUAUGGGUACUUCAAAUGUGGAACAGUGCAACACAAAAUGACAUGGACCUUCCAGCUCUCACUACACAUGGAUGGAAGCGAGAAAAUGGAGAACUGGGGAUUCAAUGGGAUUCUCCAAAAAACCUGACAAAGUCAAAGGAAAGAGUGGAAUAUGUAUUAUCCGGGUGCAAGUGCAAGACUGGUUGCACAAACAAA
This is a long non-coding RNA of Halichondria panicea, 1220 nucleotides long. RefSeq lists it as uncharacterized. Lineage: Eukaryota; Metazoa; Porifera; Demospongiae; Suberitida; Halichondriidae. The record is from RefSeq and is a predicted model, not a curated record. The transcript has 3 exons.